CAAUAUUUUUUUGUUGGACAACUGCUAGUACCUGUUAAUGAAUAUAUCGGGGUUGCGCUAGUCACUGAUUUUCAAAGUUCUCGAUGAGUAUUCCAACUGGGGAAAUAUAUGUUGACACAGGCCCAGAAUUGUGUUUCCCAGAUUCAUAUAUUUCGUUCAUUAGAGCGUUUUCGUGCAAUUCAAGUUUUUUAACAAACUUUUUUUGGUGGCAUAAUGCGUAAGUGCAAAGAGGCAUAACAGCAGAUGUAUUAUAAACGACCUUACGCUCUAAAAUUUCCAACUCUUUGGCUACUGUUGGAGAUAUGGUGAACCAGAUCCAGGAAAGCCAUAAACCAGAACUGAUCUGAUAGUCACCUUGUACAAAAGUAGUUUCGUUUGUAGCGCUUUUUGCAGAUUCAGUCUCACAUGUUGAUUGAAUUUCAUCAAUUUGUUAAAUGUUAUGCACAAGUACUUGAUUUCAGAUUGACGCGCAAGGACGCUCCCCUGCGGCACUCCGUUGUUGAUCAUGCCAGAUGAGGAUAGUGCGCUCUUUAUUUUCACUGUGGAAUAAUUUAACAACGACAAGCUCAAAAACUUUCCCGACACUUGAUAAUUAAUUGGGAUUAUGUUGGCUCAUUUCCAAGCAGCCGGAAAAUGUCUAUUAUUUUUACAAUUGUUGUAUAUACAGAUUCUUUUGCCAUUGACGUUUGCAUUUAAAAGUUUUUUUUUGCCUUUUCGGAGAGCCGGAAUUUAUGUUCAUUGGCAUGAAUCUUUUGAGAAUGAGAGUCAUAGAUUGUCCCAAAGACCAGAUUAAAAUCCUCAAUAAAUGAAUCCAGCUCAUUGUUGGACAAGUUGCAGUUUGAUGGAGGCAUUAACCUCUCAGAUUCGGUGUCAAGGAUGCUUCUAAAGCUGUUCCAGUCAGUACUUUUAUAUGAAGUGAAGGC
This is a long non-coding RNA of Stomoxys calcitrans (stable fly), 923 nucleotides long. RefSeq lists it as uncharacterized. Lineage: Eukaryota; Metazoa; Arthropoda; Insecta; Diptera; Muscidae. The record is from RefSeq and is a predicted model, not a curated record. The transcript has 5 exons.